AUGUCCCAGGGAUUCUGUGAUAAGUAUGAGAAACUAAUCCAGGAGUUUUGGUGGGGAGAGGAAAAUGGACAUCGGAAAGUGCACUGGAUGUCAUGGGAUUGAAUGGUCAAACCGAAGAGAGGGGGCGGCAUAGGCUUCAAGGAUAUGAAUCACUUUAACCAAGCCUUGCUGGCCAGACAGGCUUGGAGACUACUGCAAAGACCAGAGUCUCUAUGUGCACGAGUCUUGAAGGCCAAGGACUACCCACACGGUGAGCUGAUUGACACUGUCUUUGCUUCAGAUGCCUCUCCCGUCUGGCGAGGGAUCGAGCAUGGACUGCAACUCCUAAAAGCAGGGCUAGUCUGGAGGAUUGGAAACAGAGAGAAGGUUCAUAUCAAAAGAGACAAUUGGAUCCCAAGGGAGGAGGGGCUCCUAUUGGGGAACGUAGCAGAAAUUCAAAAUUUUCCUACGUGUCACCAAGAUCUAUCUAUGGAGAGACCAGCAACGAGUAGAAAGAGAGUGCAUCUACAUACCCUUGUAGAUCGCUAA
RNAcentral lists this ribosomal RNA (528 nucleotides) under Triticum aestivum (bread wheat). RNAcentral describes it as "partial small subunit ribosomal RNA". Lineage: Eukaryota; Viridiplantae; Streptophyta; Magnoliopsida; Poales; Poaceae. The record is from RNAcentral.